This 433-nucleotide unclassified non-coding RNA is filed under the name soil metagenome. Its description in RNAcentral is "partial contains 5.8S ribosomal RNA, internal transcribed spacer 2, and large subunit ribosomal RNA". The stretch from base 1 to 120 matches the Rfam family "5.8S ribosomal RNA", at positions 35 to 154 of the family's 154-position model. The record is from RNAcentral.
GAUGAAGAACGUAGUGAAAUGCGAUACGUAAUGUGAAUUGCAGAAUUCAGUGAAUCAUCGAAUCUUUGAACGCAUAUUGCGCUCUCUGGUAUUCCGGAGAGCAUGCUUGUUUGAGUAUCAGUAAACACCUCAACUUCCAUAUCUUUUUUGAAAUGGGAGUUGGACUUGAGUGAUCCCAACGCUUUUCCUCACCGAAAAGUGGCGGGUUACUUGAAAUGCAGGUGCAGCUGGACUGUUCUCUGAGCUAUAAGCAUAUCUAUUUAGUCUGCCUAAAAAACAGAUUAUUACCUUUGCUGCAGCUAACAUAAAGGAGAUUAGUUCUUGUGCUGACUGAUGCAGGAUUCACAAAGACAGGCUUCGGCCGACUUUGUAAACUCGAUCUCAAAUCAAGUAAGACUACCCGCUGAACUUAAGCAUAUCAAUAAGCGGAGGA